This is a long non-coding RNA of Heterocephalus glaber (naked mole-rat), 537 nucleotides long. The record is from Ensembl. Lineage: Eukaryota; Metazoa; Chordata; Mammalia; Rodentia; Bathyergidae.
CACCAGCUCAGACAAAUCUUUACAGUCACAGUGACAGUCCACUGGGUCUUCAGUUAUGACUGAGCAAGGACUCUGGUGUCCAGGUAUAAUUAAAAUACACUCAGACCUAGACUGGAAAAGCCUUCAGCACAGAAUGAGGUCAUCUUUUAAAUUUCACUAUUCACUUUCACUUCUCCACAUGACUGCUUGGUUGGAGCUGAAAAAACAUGACAUCGAACAGUUGGACAGAACUGUACAGGAAAACAUCAACUCUCCAAAAUUUACUUUCUUUAUGCAACUGACAUCUCCUAAGCAACAAACGGCUGAAAUUCUUUUCAAAAUCUGCAAGACUUCGUUAUUUUAGGAAAGCCUAGCUUUAAUUACUGUAGAAUGCUUUCUAAUGCUCAAAGACCACCUAAACUCAUUUGAUGCCCUUUUAAACUUUGUUCUGCUAUUAUUAUUUAGAGGAUGAAAUAGAUUUAAAGAGGGUUAUUUGCCCCAAAUAAGUAGUGGAAUUGAAACUUGAACUCAGAUCUUCCAAAUACAACUUACUACUCC